CCCUUAGAUGUUCUGGGCCGCACGCGCGCUACACUGAUGCGUUCGACAAGUUUCCUUGGCCGAGAGGCCUGGGCAAUCUUCUUAAUAUGUAUCGUGAUAGGGAUAGAUUAUUGCAAUUAUUAAUCUUGAACGAGGAAUUCCUAGUAAACGCAGAUCAUCAAUCUGCAUUGAUUACGUCCCUGCCCUUUGUACACACCGCCCGUCGCACCUACCGAUUGGAUGUUCCGGUGAAGCCUCGGGAUGAGGACUGGUGCCUUUAUUGGCAUGAGUUGUUCAGAACUUGUCUAAACCUUAUCAUCUAGAGGAAGGUGAAGUCGUAACA
This 322-nucleotide ribosomal RNA is filed under the name uncultured eukaryote. RNAcentral's name for it is "partial 18S ribosomal RNA". It matches the Rfam family "Eukaryotic small subunit ribosomal RNA", at positions 1470 to 1796 of the family's 1831-position model. The record is from RNAcentral.